GGACAAUUAGCUCAGUUGGCAGAGCGGCGGACUCAUAAGCCGCAGGUCGCCGGUUCGACCCCGGCAUUGUCCACCA
RNAcentral lists this transfer RNA (76 nucleotides) under Acidithiobacillus ferrooxidans. RNAcentral's name for it is "tRNA-Met". It matches the Rfam family "tRNA". From Rfam's summary of the family: Transfer RNA (tRNA) molecules are approximately 80 nucleotides in length. Their secondary structure includes four short double-helical elements and three loops (D, anti-codon, and T loops). Further hydrogen bonds mediate the characteristic L-shaped molecular structure. tRNAs have two regions of fundamental functional importance: the anti-codon, which is responsible for specific mRNA codon recognition, and the 3' end, to which the tRNAs corresponding amino acid is attached (by aminoacyl-tRNA synthetases). tRNAs cope with the degeneracy of the genetic code in two manners: having more than one tRNA (with a specific anti-codon) for a particular amino acid; and 'wobble' base-pairing, i.e. permitting non-standard base-pairing at the 3rd anti-codon position. The record is from RNAcentral. RNAcentral also lists the same sequence under 1 other name. Lineage: Bacteria; Pseudomonadati; Pseudomonadota; Acidithiobacillia; Acidithiobacillales; Acidithiobacillaceae.